UUGGUACCAACAGUAAGCAAGAGAAAGGGAGAAGAGAGUCUGACAUUAAUACCCCUCUCAGCUAACGUCAGCAUUAGCAAUACAGGCUCCUUCCUGUGGAAGCUACAGCGUGACUAUUAUCUUCAUUUGUUAAUCGUCUCCUAGUCUUUCCGGAAUAAUAAAUCCUCCUAUUGUAUAUUACAGUGACUUAAAAGGAAGGAACUAAAGUGUUAAUAAGUAAUAACUUAAACUGGAUUUAUUUGGAAAACCCUUAAUAGUUUCUUCAUUUAUCAGGGUAUCCUAAAUGAUACUGGCACAGUAGUACCCAACCGAACUGUAUUGUGUGGACAGUCUUGGGGUAAUCGUAGACGCUAAUAGUGUAGUAUUGAUGUAAAGUUAAAGUAUAUGUGUAAAGUAAUACUGUUUCAUAUACCCUCAAGGGGGUUAUGUAAGAUUGCAUUUAUGGUCACAUAUAGCCUAUUGUAUGUGUGGAAAUGUCUAAAUUCAGGUAUUUGCUCAUUGAGUGGAGAACGAAGGAGUCGAGACAACUGGAAGCAGUUUAAUAAAUGAGUUUAUCGAUCGUAGUGUGAAAUACAUUGUUACAAUUUGAAAUUGAUGUAUGGUACUGUAAGUAUUCUUUUACAAACUAGUGUUUAUUCAACUUUCACAAAGUUCACUAUUGCAAUCUAUGUGCUAAAUAAACCGGUAUUUAGAGCUAUAUAAGUAGUUAAUUAUGUGGAAGCUCCUAUCCUCACCUCUCUGUUAAGAAUCAGGAACCGGGGAGUCCUAAGGGAAAAGAGAUGGCAUAAGCACUUACCUGUAUACUUACCUACAUAUUUAAACCUAAUACUUACCUAGUUAUUACAUAUACAUACCAAAAUAUUUGUUCACAACUUUGUCACGGAAGGUCCUCCCUCUUAUAUGUGAUGUCAUUGGGCCAUCAUCAUCAUCCUCAGGCAACAGUUCAUCUUCUGGAAAUGCCACCCGACUCCUUAUUGCGAUGUUAUGCAACACACAACACAGGACCACAAUUUUAGAGACCAUUUUUCGGCUAAUAUAAGCGUGUGCCACCAGUUUGGUGUAGGCAGCGGAAUCUGCUUUUUAAUAUGCCGAAACACCGCUCUACAACCUGCCUGGUGGCUGUAAGCGCGGUGUUGUAAUUUGUUUGUGGUCCUGGUGGGAGGUUGGAAUAAGGAGUCAGGAGCCAAGGCGUGCAAGGAUAGCCACUAUCUCCUGAAAUAUGAGAAAGAGAACAGCAUCAGCACCUGCACCAUCAGCGACAUCAGCAGCAGCAGAAGCGCCCACAACAGCAGCGCCCACAACAGCAGCGCCCACAACAGCAGCAUGAGCAAGAACUAUCUUGUGAGGCUGAUGCUGGUGAUGUGCAUUCUGAUGCUGAAGAAGAAGAAGAUGGUGUGGAGGAGACUUCUAUGCCAUUUUUUGAUGAGGAUGUGCCAUAUGCUAGAAGUCCAGAACCACCACCAACUGACCAUAUCCCACCAUCUGAUAGUCCUCUGCUCAGUAGUCGCUAGAUCCAGCUGGAAAUACUUCAAGAAAGUCAAUGCAAUUCACAGAUUUUCAACCAUAUUUUAGAAGAGGUUCGUGAACAAAACACCCUCAGCAGGGAAAGAUAUCAGCUCCUGUUACAGCACAAUACCAUUAUGCAGAAUCUGACCAAUGUUGUAGAAGAGAGCAUGAAGCAGAUUGGAGCACAUGUGGCUGAAGGAUGUCAGACCACCAUGGCAGGACCAUCAUCCACACAGAACAUUGUGCCAAACAUGCCUACUGACAUGAUGCGUCGAACAACCAGACGAGCUGCUGGUGAACUAACAAACGCAGGCGGAAAAAAGAAAAAAAAAUAGUUUUUUUUUAUGUUUACAGUUUAUAUACAUUACAUAUUAUUGUUUUGUUAUUAUUAACAUUCCUUAUUUUAAUGUUUCAUGUGAAAUUAUUGUUUAGAGCAAUAAAAAAAGUCGGCCAUAAUUAAAAUGUCCACAAAAUAACAA
Pseudophryne corroboree (corroboree frog) is the source of this 1985-nucleotide long non-coding RNA. RefSeq lists it as uncharacterized. The transcript has 3 exons. NCBI's taxonomy places the organism in Eukaryota, Metazoa, Chordata, Amphibia, Anura, Myobatrachidae. The record is from RefSeq and is a predicted model, not a curated record.